Long non-coding RNA from Chloebia gouldiae (Gouldian finch), 2902 nucleotides. Lineage: Eukaryota; Metazoa; Chordata; Aves; Passeriformes; Passeridae. The record is from Ensembl.
AUUGUUUUUUCUGGAAUGUUUUUCUGGAGCCACUUUUGGGUGGAUUUGUCCAAUUAAUACUUCCCAAAAAUCCCUUAAAAAUGGGAUUUGGGGCAGGAUUGGGCUCCUGGGAUUAUUUUUCCCGGGAUAUUUCGCUCCUGGAGCCGCUUUGACGGAUCCUGCCUCAGUUUCCCCCCCUCCCUCCUUCCCAAGAGGCGGAACCGGGCGGGAUUUGGGAUCCGGGAGCGGCCCGGGGCCCUUCCCGGGGGUUCCUCCCGCUCCAGGGAGGGAAUUCCGGCUGUUCCCGGAUGCGGGAAUUCCGGGGGAUUCCGGCGCCGCUCCCGCUGCCUUCCUCCCCCCCGCACUAACCGAGCUCUUCCUCUUCCUUCUCUCUUGCAGCCGAAGCUCCCGGGAGCGUCCCCGGGGGAGCCCCCGGCCCCGCUGCCUUCCCAGAUUUCCCAGAUUUCCCAGAUUUCCUCCCAGAUCCCCCAAAUCCCCUCCCGGCCGCCCUCCCGGCCGCCCUCCCGGCCGCUCUCCCGGCCGCCCUCGGAGCCGCCGCCGGGGCUGUUCCCGGAGCAUUCCCAGUCCCCGCAUUCCCAACAUUCCCAACAUUCCCAGCAGCAUUCCCAACCCUCCCAGCCCUCCCAGCCCUUCCCGCUGCCGCUGCUGCCCCCGGAGCAUUCCCGGAGCUUCCCGCUGAUCCCGGGAGCUUUCCCGGCCCCGCCGAAGGCCGGCCCCGAGCGCUUCCAGCAGGUGCCCCAGGGGCUGCUCCUGCAGCCGAAGCCGCCCCCGUCCAGCCCGGCGCCGUUCCCGGCUCCGGCCGCUCCCGUCCUGCUGCCGGCGGCUCCGGGAACGCCCGGCCCGGCCCUGGCGGCCGCCGGCGCCGCCGCCUCAGGUGGGUCCGGAGCGCCGACAUCCCAAAUCCCCAAAUCCCCAAAUCCCGUCGCCGCCGUUCCCAAUUUCCCGGUGCCAAGAUCCCAUUCCCGGAGCCAUUCCCGGUUUCCUGGUGCCAUUCCCGGUGCCAUUCCCGGUUCCAUUCCCGGUUUCCUGGUGCCAUUCCCGGUGCCAUUCCCGGUGCCAUUCCCGGUUUCCUGGUGCCAUUCCCGGUGCCAUUCCCGGUGCCAUUCCCGGUUUCCUGGUGCCAUUCCCGGUGCCAUUCCCGGUUUCCCAGAGCCAUUCCCAUGUCCCCAUUCCCAAUUUCCUGAUGGAGUUCCUGGUGCCAUUCCCGGUGCCUUUCCCACUUUCUCAUUCCCGGUUUCCCAAUGCCAUUCCCGGGUUCCCAUUCCUAAUUUCCCAGUUUCUCGGUUUCCCAAUUUCCCGGUUUCCCAUUCCCGGUAUCCCAGUUUCCCAAUUUCCCGGUUUCCCAAUUUCCCAAUUUCCCAUUCCCGGUUUCCCAAUNNNNNNNNNNGGUUUCCCAAUUUCCCAAUUUCCCAUUCCCGGUUUCCCAAUUUCCCAAUUUCCCAUUCCCAGUUUCCCGAUUUCCCAUUCCCCGUUUCCAAUUUCCCAAUUCCCCAUUUUCCCAUUCCCAAUUUCCCAUUCCCCAUUUCCCAUUCCCCAUUUCCCAUUCCCGAUUUCCCGAUUUCCCAUUCCCGUUUCCCGCAGGCGCGGCGGCGGAGCCGAAGCCGUUCUGCAGCGCCGGCGCCGCCCUUCCCGUGGCCGUUCCGGCCGUUUCCGUUCCCGUGGCCGUUCCGGCUGUUUCCGUUCCCGUGGCCGUCGCCGUUCCCGGCGGGAAAUCGGCGCCGCCUCCCGGCAAGGCGGGGCCGCCCCUCCCCCCCCAGCCCGGCCAGGCGAAGCCGGGCGGGAUCAAGGCCCCCCCCCAACCCUCGGGGGGGGGGGAAGGGCCCCCAGGCCCCGCCCACGCUGGAGCCGAAGGCGCCGCUGAAGAAGGCGCCGCUGCUGCAGCCCAGCAAGGAGGCCUGGUAAGGAGCCGGAAUUCCCGGAAUUCCCACUGGAAUUCCCACUGGAAUUCCCGCCGGAAUUCCCGCGGGGCGGGCGGGGCUGCACCAAAAACGCCGAUUUUGGCCAAAUCUCUGCCCAAAACGGGGCAUUUUGGCCGUGUUUGUGCCGAAAUUACCAAUUCUGGCCAUAUUUGUGACCAAAAUGUGGAAUUCUGGCCGUGCUUUUGGCAGAAAUGAGGAUUUUUGUCCGCGUUUGUGCCCAAAGUGGGGAAUUUUGUCCCAUUAGAACCAAAAAUGUGGAGUUUUCUCCAUUUUUCCCCCAAAAAUACUAGUUUUCAACCCAAACAGUUGAUUUUUUCCCAAACCCGCGGUUUCUCACCCCAAACCAUUGAUUUCUCUCCGUUUUGCCCAAACCCGCAGUUUUUCACUCCAAACCGUUGAUUUUCACCCCGUUUUGCCCAAACCCGCGGUUUCUGACCCCAAACCUGUUGGGUUUUACCCCUUUUUGCCCAAACCCGCAGUUUCCCACCCCAAACCAUUGACUUUUUCCCAAACCCGCCAUUUCUCACCCCAAACUGUUGAUUUUUGCCGCGUUUUUGCCCAAACCGGCCAUUUCUGACCCCAAACCGUUGAUUUUCACCCCGUUUUUCCCAAACCUGCCGUUUCUCACCCCGAACUGUUGACUUUUGCCCAAACCCUCAGUUUCUGCCCCCAAACUGUUGAUUUUUGCCCAAAACCACCGUUUCUCACCCUGAACCAUUGAUUUUUGCCCCGUUUUUCCCAAACCCGUGGUUUCUUCCCCUAAACCGUUGGUUUUUUUCCCAUUUUGCCCAAACCCACGGUUUCUGACCCCAAACCAUUGAUUUUCAUCCCUUUUUUCCCAAACCGGCCGUUUCUCCCCCCAAACCGUUGAUUUUUGCCCAAACCGGCCGUUUCUCACCCCGAACCGUUGAUUUUUUUCCCAAACCCGCAGUUUUUCACCCCAAACCGGCCGUUUCUGACCCUGAACCGUUGAUUUUCACCCC